Molecule: microRNA precursor, 86 nt
Organism: Capsella rubella
Lineage: Eukaryota; Viridiplantae; Streptophyta; Magnoliopsida; Brassicales; Brassicaceae
Rfam family: mir-156 microRNA precursor family
About the family: This family represents the plant microRNA (miRNA) precursor mir-156. Animal miRNAs are transcribed as ~70nt precursors and subsequently processed by the Dicer enzyme to give a ~22nt product.
Source: Rfam
GCGACAGAAGAGAGUGAGCACACAUGGCUCCUUUUUCUAGCAUGCUUAUGCUCGAAAGCUCUGCGUGCUUACUCUCUUCUUGUCUC